AGCAGUGUAGUGAAGUGGCUGGAGUGCUGGACUAGGAUUCUGGGAGACCAGGGUUCGAAUCCCUGCUCAGCCG
Non-coding RNA from Phrynosoma platyrhinos (Desert horned lizard), 73 nucleotides. The record is from the annotation of a GenBank genome assembly. Lineage: Eukaryota; Metazoa; Chordata; Lepidosauria; Squamata; Phrynosomatidae.